UUUUGAGGUCUGGCCUGCUCACUGACAAGUUUUAAAGAGCCGCGGUAUUUUGACCGUGCAAAGGUAGCAUAAUCAUUAGUCUCUUAAUUAGGGGCUGGAAUGAAUGGCUUGACGAGAAAUUAACUGUCUCUUAUUAAAUUAUAGAAUUUAACUUUUGAGUUAAAAGGCUUAAAUUUUUCUUAAAGACGAGAAGACCCUAUAGAGCUUGACAUUUUAUUUUAAUAUAAUUUUUAGAAAGUCUUUUUAUAUUUUAAGAUAAUGUUUUGUUGGGGUGACAUGAAGAAUAAAUAAACUCUUCAUUAUAAAAUCAUUGAUUUAUGUUUAUUUUGAUCCAUAAUUUAUGAUCAUAAGAUUAAGUUACCUUAGGGAUAACAGCGUAAUUGUUUUUGAGAGCUCAUAUUGACAAAGCAGAUUGCGACCUCGAUGUUGGAUUAAGAAUAAUUUUGGGUGCAGGAGCCCAAUAA
RNAcentral lists this ribosomal RNA (464 nucleotides) under Melanoplus angustipennis (narrowwinged sand grasshopper). RNAcentral's name for it is "partial 16S ribosomal RNA". It matches the Rfam family "Archaeal large subunit ribosomal RNA", at positions 1936 to 2640 of the family's 2987-position model. Lineage: Eukaryota; Metazoa; Arthropoda; Insecta; Orthoptera; Acrididae. The record is from RNAcentral.